GAGAUGAAAUCGAGUAAGGCGAGGCACGUGAAACCUUGUCUGAAUAUGGGGGGACCAUCCUCCAAGGCUAAAUACUACUGACUGACCGAUAGUGAACUAGUACCGUGAGGGAAAGGCGAAAAGAACCCCGGAGAGGGGAGUGAAAUAGAUCCUGAAACCGUAUGCGUACAAGCAGUGGGAGCCCA
RNAcentral lists this ribosomal RNA (185 nucleotides) under Prasinococcus capsulatus. RNAcentral describes it as "partial Bacterial large subunit ribosomal RNA". It matches the Rfam family "Bacterial large subunit ribosomal RNA", at positions 399 to 583 of the family's 2925-position model. Lineage: Eukaryota; Viridiplantae; Prasinodermophyta; Palmophyllophyceae; Prasinococcales; Prasinococcaceae. The record is from RNAcentral.